Molecule: ribosomal RNA, 460 nt
Filed under: uncultured bacterium
Lineage: Bacteria
Description: partial 16S ribosomal RNA
Rfam family: Bacterial small subunit ribosomal RNA
Source: RNAcentral
CCUACGGGUGGCAGCAGUGAGGAAUAUUGGUCAAUGGGCGUAAGCCUGAACCAGCCAAGUCGCGUGAGGGAUGAAGGUCCUAUGGAUCGUAAACCUCUUUUAUAAGGGACAAAAGUGCGGGACGUGUCCCGUUUUGUAUGUACCUUAUGAAUAAGGAUCGGCAAACUCCGGUCCAGCAGCCCCGGUAAUACGGAGGGUCCGAGCGUUGUCCGGAUUUAUUGGGUUUAAAGGGGGCGUAGGCGGCCUUUUAAGUCAGCGGUGAAAGCCUGCGGCUCAACCGUAGAAGUGCCGUUGAAACUGGGAGGCUUGAGUGUGUUUGAGGAAGGCGGAAGGCGUGGUGUAGCGGUGAAAUGCUUAGAUAUCACGCAGAACCCCGAUUGCGAAGGCAGCCUGCCAAGCCAUGACUGACGCUGAUGCACGAAAGCGUGGGGAUCAAACAGGAUUAGAUACCCUUGUAGUC